UAGUGGCGAACGGGUGAGUAACACGUGGGCAAUCUGCCCUGCACUCUGGGACAAGCCCUGGAAACGGGGUCUAAUACCGGAUAAUACUGUGCCCCUCAUGGGGGACGGUUAAAAGCUCCGGCGGUGCAGGAUGAGCCCGCGGCCUAUCAGCUUGUUGGUGGGGUAAUGGCCUACCAAGGCGACGACGGGUAGCCGGCCUGAGAGGGCGACCGGCCACACUGGGACUGAGACACGGCCCAGACUCCUACGGGAGGCAGCAGUGGGGAAUAUUGCACAAUGGGCGAAAGCCUGAUGCAGCGACGCCGCGUGAGGGAUGACGGCCUUCGGGUUGUAAACCUCUUUCAGCAGGGAAGAAGCGAAAGUGACGGUACCUGCAGAAGAAGCGCCGGCUAACUACGUGCCAGCAGCCGCGGUAAUACGUAGGGCGCAAGCGUUGUCCGGAAUUAUUGGGCGUAAAGAGCUCGUAGGCGGUUUGUCACGUCGGGUGUGAAAGCCCGGGGCUUAACCCCGG
This 511-nucleotide ribosomal RNA is filed under the name Streptomyces sp. 313F01. RNAcentral's name for it is "bacterial SSU rRNA". It matches the Rfam family "Bacterial small subunit ribosomal RNA", at positions 93 to 618 of the family's 1533-position model. The record is from RNAcentral. Lineage: Bacteria; Bacillati; Actinomycetota; Actinomycetes; Kitasatosporales; Streptomycetaceae.